GACGAACGCUGGCGGCGUGCUUAACACAUGCAAGUCGAACGGAAAGGCCCUGCUUUUGUGGGGUGCUCGAGUGGCGAACGGGUGCGUAACACGUGAGUAACCUGCUCUUGACUUUGGGAUAACUUCAGGAAACUGGGGCUAAUACCGGAUAGGAGCUCCUGCUGCAGGGAGGGGGUUGGAAAGUUUCGGCGGUUGGGGAUGGACUCGCGGCUUAUCAGCUUGUUGGUGGGGUAGUGGCUGACCAAGGCUUUGACGGGUAGCCGGCCUGAGAGGGUGACCGGCCACAUUGGGACUGCGGUACGGCCCAGUGUCCUACGGGGGACAGCAGUGGGAAAUAUUGCCCAAUGGGCGGAAGCCUGUUGCAGCAGCGCCCCGUGCGGGAUGACGGCCUUCGGGUUGUGAACCGCUUUCGCCUGUGACGAAGCGUGAGUGACGGUAAUGGGUAAAGAAGCACCGGCUAACUACGUG
This 468-nucleotide ribosomal RNA is filed under the name uncultured bacterium. RNAcentral's name for it is "partial 16S ribosomal RNA". It matches the Rfam family "Bacterial small subunit ribosomal RNA", at positions 28 to 507 of the family's 1533-position model. The record is from RNAcentral.